Molecule: ribosomal RNA, 468 nt
Filed under: uncultured bacterium
Lineage: Bacteria
Description: partial 16S ribosomal RNA
Rfam family: Bacterial small subunit ribosomal RNA
Source: RNAcentral
GACGAACGCUGGCGGCGUGCUUAACACAUGCAAGUCGAACGGAAAGGCCCUGCUUUUGUGGGGUGCUCGAGUGGCGAACGGGUGAGUAACACGUGAGUAACCUGCCCUUGACUUUGGGAUAACUUCAGGAAACUGGGGCUAAUACCGGAUAGGAGCUCCUGCUGCAUGGUGGGGGUUGGAAAGUUUCGGCGGGUGGGGAUGGACUCGCGGCUUAUCAGCUUGUUGGUGGGGUAGUGGCUUACCAAGGCUUUGACGGGUAGCCGGCCUGAGAGGGUGACCGGCCACAUUGGGACUGAGAUACGGCCCAGACUCCUACGGGAGGCAGAAGUGGGGAAUCUUGCACAGUGGGCGGAAGCCUGAUGCAGCAACGCCGCGUGCGGGAUGACGGCCUUCGGGUUGUAAACCGCUUUCGCCUGUGACGAAGCGUGAGUGACGGUAAUGGGUAAAGAAGCACCGGCUAACUACGUG